AUAGAGUCAAGUGAAUAAGUGCAUCAGGUGGAUGCCUUGGCGAUGAUAGGCGACGAAGGACGUGUAAGCCUGCGAAAAGCAUCGGGGAGCUGGCAAUAGAGCUAUGAUCCGGUGAUGUCCGAAUGGGGAAACCCACCGUAUUUUGUACGGUAUCCUUAUCCGAAUCCAUAGGGUAAGCGAAGCGAACCCGGAGAACUGAACCAUCUCAGUACCCGGAGGAAAAGAAAUCAACCGAGAUUCCGCAAGUAGUGGCGAGCGAACGUGGAGGAGCCUGUAUACGAUAGCUGUUGAGAUAGAAGAAGGAAAUGGAAAGUUCCGCCAUAGUGGGUGAUAGCCCCGUAUUCGAAAUCUCGGUAGUGGUACUAGGUAUACGACAAGUAGGGCGGGACACGAGAAAUCCUGUCUGAAGAUGGGGGGACCAUCCUCCAAGGCUAAAUACUCAUCAUCGACCGAUAGUGAACCAGUACCGUGAGGGAAAGGCGAAAAGAACCCCGGGAGGGGAGUGAAAUAGAACCUGAAACCUGAUGCAUACAAACAGUGGGAGCCCCAGAUUUAAGUAUCUUGGUUCUUUCAGCGAGCGAGCAGCGAGCUAAAAGCAGACUAAGGAGUGAAACUGGCAGAUUUAAGCAAGAUAGCAGGAUGCUUAAAUCUGGGGUGACUGCGUACCUUUUGUAUAAUGGGUCAACGACUUACGUUCAGUAGCGAGCUUAACCGGAUAGGGGAGGCGUAGGGAAACCGAGUCUUAAUAGGGCGACGAGUUGCUGGGCGUAGACCCGAAACCGAGUGAUCUAUCCAUGGCCAGGUUGAAGGUGCCGUAACAGGUACUGGAGGACCGAACCCACGCAUGUUGCAAAAUGCGGGGAUGAGCUGUGGAUAGGGGUGAAAGGCUAAACAAACUCGGAGAUAGCUGGUUCUCCCCGAAAACUAUUUAGGUAGUGCCUCAUGUAUCACUUCCGGGGGUAAAGCACUGUUAUGGCUAGGGGGUCAUUGCGACUUACCAACCCAUGGCAAACUCAGAAUACUGGAAAGUGUGAGCAUGGGAGACAGACAGCGGGUGCUAACGUCCGUUGUCGAAAGGGAAACAACCCAGACCGCCAGCUAAGGUCCCAAAUGAUAGAUUAAGUGGUAAACGAAGUGGGAAGGCUUAGACAGCCAGGAUGUUGGCUUAGAAGCAGCCAUCAUUUAAAGAAAGCGUAAUAGCUCACUGGUCGAGUCAUCCUGCGCGGAAGAUGUAACGGGGCUCAAAUCUAUAACCGAAGCUGCGGAUGCACGCUUCAUUAAAACAGCUUACCGGAGCGAAGCGACGGAAAGCGCCCAUCAAAGUCGAGCGUGACGGAUGGUGGAAGCAGAGUUGUUUUAAUGAAGCGUGCAUGGUAGGGGAGCGUUCUGUAGGCCUGAGAAGGCGUAUCGUAAGGUAUGCUGGAGGUAUCAGAAGUGCGAAUGUUGACAUGAGUAGCGAUAAAGCGGGUGAAAAGCCCGCUCGCCGAAAGCCCAAGGUUUCCUGCGCAACGUUCAUCGGCGCAGGGUGAGUCGGCCCCUAAGGCGAGGCAGAGAUGCGUAGUCGAUGGGAAACGGGUUAAUAUUCCCGUACUUGAUUUAAGUGCGACGUGGGGACGGAGAAGGUUAGGUCAGCAAACUGUUGGAAUAGUUUGUUCAAGCCGGUAGGUGGAAGGACUAGGCAAAUCCGGUUCUUCGAAACACCGAGAAGCGAUAACGAGCAUCUACGGAUGCGAAGUGACCGAUACCACGCUUCCAGGAAAAGCCACUAAGCUUCAGCUUAAAUCGAACCGUACCGCAAACCGACACAGGUGGGCAGGAUGAGAAUUCUAAGGCGCUUGAGAGAACUCGGGAGAAGGAACUCGGCAAAUUGAUACCGUAACUUCGGGAGAAGGUAUGCCCUUCGACGUUAAGCCUUCGCGGCGUAAGCGUUGGAGGGUCGCAGAGAAUCGGUGGCUGCGACUGUUUAUUAAAAACACAGCACUCUGCAAACACGAAAGUGGACGUAUAGGGUGUGACGCCUGCCCGGUGCUGGAAGGUUAAUUGAAGAUGUGAGAGCAUCGGAUCGAAGCCCCAGUAAACGGCGGCCGUAACUAUAACGGUCCUAAGGUAGCGAAAUUCCUUGUCGGGUAAGUUCCGACCCGCACGAAUGGCGUAACGAUGGCCACACUGUCUCCUCCCGAGACUCAGCGAAGUUGAAGUGGUUGUGAAGAUGCAAUCUACCCGCUGCUAGACGGAAAGACCCCGUGAACCUUUACUGUAGCUUUGCAUUGGACUUUGAAGUCACUUGUGUAGGAUAGGUGGGAGGCUUAGAAGCAGAGACGCCAGUUUCUGUGGAGCCGUCCUUGAAAUACCACCCUGGUGACUUUGAGGUUCUAACCCAGGUCCGUGAUCCGGAUCGGGGACCGUGCAUGGUAGGCAGUUUGACUGGGGCGGUCUCCUCCCAAAGAGUAACGGAGGAGUUCGAAGGUUACCUAGGUCCGGUCGGAAAUCGGACUGAUAGUGCAAUGGCAAAAGGUAGCUUAACUGCGAGACCGACAAGUCGAGCAGGUGCGAAAGCAGGACAUAGUGAUCCGGUGGUUCUGAAUGGAAGGGCCAUCGCUCAACGGAUAAAAGGUACUCCGGGGAUAACAGGCUGAUUCCGCCCAAGAGUUCAUAUCGACGGCGGAGUUUGGCACCUCGAUGUCGGCUCAUCACAUCCUGGGGCUGUAGUCGGUCCCAAGGGUAUGGCUGUUCGCCAUUUAAAGUGGUACGUGAGCUGGGUUUAAAACGUCGUGAGACAGUUUGGUCCCUAUCUGCAGUGGGCGUUGGAAGUUUGACAGGGGCUACUCCUAGUACGAGAGGACCGGAGUGGACGAACCUCUGGUGUACCGGUUGUCACGCCAGUGGCAUCGCCGGGUAGCUAAGUUCGGGAAGGAUAAGCGCUGAAAGCAUCUAAGCGCGAAACCUGCCUGGAGAUGAGACUUCCCUUGUGGUAUAACCACACUAAAGAGUCGUUCUAGACCAGGACGUUGAUAGGUGGGGUGUGGAAGCGCGGCAACGCGUGCAGCUAACCCAUACUAAUUGCUCGUGAGGCUUGACUCUAU
Molecule: ribosomal RNA, 3083 nt
Filed under: Eikenella longinqua
Lineage: Bacteria; Pseudomonadati; Pseudomonadota; Betaproteobacteria; Neisseriales; Neisseriaceae
Description: bacterial LSU rRNA
Rfam family: Bacterial large subunit ribosomal RNA
Source: RNAcentral